GGGCGGUUAGCUCAGUGGGAGAGCGCUUGUCUCACACACAAGAGGUCGCAGGUUCGAAUCCUGCACCGCCCACCA
Molecule: transfer RNA, 75 nt
Filed under: Dictyoglomota bacterium
Lineage: Bacteria; Pseudomonadati; Dictyoglomota
Also listed under: 1 other name
Description: Dictyoglomi bacterium (hydrothermal vent metagenome) tRNA-Val
Rfam family: tRNA
About the family: Transfer RNA (tRNA) molecules are approximately 80 nucleotides in length. Their secondary structure includes four short double-helical elements and three loops (D, anti-codon, and T loops).
Source: RNAcentral